GACGUAGGGUGCGAGCGUUAUUCGGAAUUACUGGGCGUAAAGCGUGCGCAGGCGGUUUUUUAAGCCAGGUGUGAAAGCCCCGGGCUUAACCUGGGAAUGGCAUUUGGGACUGCAAGGCUUGAGUGCGGCAGAGGAGACUGGAAUUCCUGGUGUAGCAGUGAAAUGCGUAGAUAUCAGGAGGAAUACCGAUGGCGAAGGCAGGUCUCUGGGCUGACACUGACGCUCAUGCACGAAAGCGUGGGGAGCAAACAGG
Molecule: ribosomal RNA, 253 nt
Filed under: uncultured bacterium
Lineage: Bacteria
Description: partial 16S ribosomal RNA
Rfam family: Bacterial small subunit ribosomal RNA
Source: RNAcentral